GGCCGUUUAGCUCAGUGGAUAGAGCGGAGCUUUCCUAAGGCUCAGGUCGCAGGUUCGACCCCUGCAUCGGUCG
Transfer RNA from Volvox carteri f. nagariensis, 73 nucleotides. It matches the Rfam family "tRNA". From Rfam's summary of the family: Transfer RNA (tRNA) molecules are approximately 80 nucleotides in length. Their secondary structure includes four short double-helical elements and three loops (D, anti-codon, and T loops). Further hydrogen bonds mediate the characteristic L-shaped molecular structure. tRNAs have two regions of fundamental functional importance: the anti-codon, which is responsible for specific mRNA codon recognition, and the 3' end, to which the tRNAs corresponding amino acid is attached (by aminoacyl-tRNA synthetases). tRNAs cope with the degeneracy of the genetic code in two manners: having more than one tRNA (with a specific anti-codon) for a particular amino acid; and 'wobble' base-pairing, i.e. permitting non-standard base-pairing at the 3rd anti-codon position. The record is from Rfam. Lineage: Eukaryota; Viridiplantae; Chlorophyta; Chlorophyceae; Chlamydomonadales; Volvocaceae.